RNAcentral lists this ribosomal RNA (508 nucleotides) under Bilaterocotyloides carangis. RNAcentral describes it as "bacterial SSU rRNA". The stretch from base 1 to 380 matches the Rfam family "Eukaryotic small subunit ribosomal RNA", at positions 115 to 476 of the family's 1831-position model. The record is from RNAcentral. Lineage: Eukaryota; Metazoa; Platyhelminthes; Monogenea; Mazocraeidea; Protomicrocotylidae.
CCCUCUAAGUAAUCUACCCGUUACAUGGAUAACUGUAGUAAUUCUAGAGCUAAUACAUGCCUCGAAUCCGUGACCCGCGAGGGAAUCGGUGCACUUAUUAGAACAAGACCAGCCGGGCACUCGCAAGAGUACUCGACCAUGUCGUGUUGACUCUGGAUAAUUUCUACAGAUCGCAGUCGGCCUUGUGUCGGCGACAGUUCUUUCAAAUGUCUGCCCUAUCAACUUACGAUGGUAGGUAACCUGCCUACCAUGGUGAUAACGGGUAACGGGGAAUCAGGGUUCGAUUCCGGAGAGGGAGCCUGAGAAACGGCUACCACAUCCAAGGAAGGCAGCAGGCGCGCAAAUUAGCCACUCUGGGCGCGGGGGGGUGGUGACGAUAAAAUAAGUGCACCGAUUCUCUGGCGGGUCGCGGAUUCGAGGCAUGUAUUAGUUCUAGAAUUACUACAGUUAUCUAUGUAACGGGUAUGAUCCAAUGAAUAAUAGCUGAUUUAAUGAGCCAUUCGUAAUC